RNAcentral lists this ribosomal RNA (478 nucleotides) under uncultured bacterium. Its description in RNAcentral is "partial 16S ribosomal RNA". It matches the Rfam family "Bacterial small subunit ribosomal RNA", at positions 28 to 523 of the family's 1533-position model. The record is from RNAcentral.
GACGAACGCUGGCGGCGUGCUUAACACAUGCAAGUCGAACGGUAAGGCCCUUCGGGGUACACGAGUGGCGUACGGGUGAGUAACACGUGGGUGAUCUGCCCUGCACUUCGGGAUAAGCCUGGGAAACUGGGUCUAAUACCGGAUAGGACCACUGCCUGCAUGGGUGGUGGUGGAAAGCUUUUGCGGUGUGGGAUGGGCCCGCGGCCUAUCAGCUUGUUGGUGGGGUGAUGGCCUACCAAGGCGGCGACGGGUAGCCGGCCUGAGAGGGUGACCGGCCACACUGGGACUGAGGUACGGCCCAGACUCCUACGGGAGGCAGCAGUGGGGAAUAUUGCACAAUGGGCGCAAGCCUGAUGCAGCGACGCCGCGUGAGGGAUGACGGCCUUCGGGUUGUAAACCUCUUUCAGCACCGACGAAGCGCAAGUGACGGUAGGUGCAGAAGAAGGACCGGCCAACUACGUGCCAGCCGCCGCCGUAA